This 327-nucleotide ribosomal RNA is filed under the name uncultured eukaryote. RNAcentral describes it as "partial 18S ribosomal RNA". It matches the Rfam family "Eukaryotic small subunit ribosomal RNA", at positions 1470 to 1796 of the family's 1831-position model. The record is from RNAcentral.
CCCUUAGAUGUUCUGGGCCGCACACGCGCUACACUGAAGGAGGCAGCGUGUACUCCUGGAUCGAAAGAUUUGGGUAACCCGCGAAUCUCCUUCGUGCUAGGGAUUGAGGUUUGCAAUUAUCCUUCAUGAACGAGGAAUUCCCAGUAAGUGCAAGUCAUAAGCUUGCGCUGACUACGUCCCUGCCCUUUGUACACACCGCCCGUCGCUACUACCGAUUGAAUGAUUUAGUGAGGACUUCGGACUGGGACCGAUGCGGCUUUCGGGCUGCGUCGGUAUUCUGGAAAGAUGUCCAAACUGUAUCAUUUAGAGGAAGCAAAAGUCGUAACA